Lacerta agilis (Sand lizard) is the source of this 2391-nucleotide long non-coding RNA. RefSeq lists it as uncharacterized. The record is from RefSeq and is a predicted model, not a curated record. The transcript is spliced from 3 exons. NCBI's taxonomy places the organism in Eukaryota, Metazoa, Chordata, Lepidosauria, Squamata, Lacertidae.
GCCAACCAGGAUCCAUGAAAUGGUGAAUGCCAAUCUUCAUCAAGAUCAGACGAUUUUUCCUUGUCAAAAGUAACAUGCAGAGUGACCCUCCUUUGUUGUAACUUUCUUGUAACUUGGAUUUUACUGAAUUAGUGCUUUUCAGUCCAACCCAUACCAUGUAAAUAAGUCAGAAGAAAGUCCUGUUGAAUUAAAGGGGGGCAGGGUUACUCUCAGCAUCUGAUACUUCUCAAAGCAACAUCUAUUCAUUAUGCUGAAGACACAUCCCAAAAAUGGUACCUAGAAGCAAGUUCUCAGGCAAAACAGAGGACAGAAGAAAAUUCCCUGUUAAUGGUCUGCAUGGAAAUACCAGCUAUUUGAAUCAUCUAAAUGUGAGUGGCUUGUAAAUGUUGCAGUAACUUCAUUCUUACUCUGGCAAAGCUAUGUGAACAGUGUAAUGUUUAAUAAAACAGCACAAUUUGAUAGAUUUAGACAGCUGCCUCAUUCUCUAGAAGUUCACAUUUUGUUAAUGCCACCCCCAUGUUGAAUAAGAGAAGAUUAGAAUGUAAGGUCAAUGUACAAAAAUGGUUGCCAGGACAUUUUUUUUAAUUGUAAAACUUUUUGUGAUGUGAUUCAGUAAAAAGACUAUAGGGAGAAAGCAAUGGAGACAAAGGGCUGCUAUUAACCUACAGAUGCAGGCUAUUGCAGGGUUCAUUGCGAGAUUUGUCACACUGCUUAGCCAAUGACGUGCUAGCAUGACUGGAAGAGACCACCCUUUUCUGGGGUAAGAGGGUAAUUUGGUCUCCAUGCUCAUUUAAUCCUGAACCUUCUCUGAAUAGAGUGUCAGUUGGGUCUACAUUGUGCAAAAUUAUGCAUGCACUUUUUAAUGCUGCCCCAUUGUUCACUAAGCACUCGACCAAGAUUUCUCAACCAAUUUCCAUUUGUCAGGAGGUCACUUGAAACCCAAGAGGAAUCAUAGGUGGAUGGCAAGUGCAGGCGCUGCUUCCUUCUGCUGUCUCUAAAACAGAUGUUUGGACACGAACAGCUUACCUAUUGCGUUUUGCUUACAAAUUGCAGCAGUACUAAAUUUUAUGAAGAAAUGGCUUGAUUUCAUUUAGUGACUGAAGAACUCACUCUUAUAAAUGCGUUCCCUCUCCUACAGAUACCAUUGUCAAGGAGGCUGGGAAUGUUUGGUCAAAGUGUCAGGCUACAUUGCUUAAAACAUUGCACACUGUUGGUGUAGGAGGAACAGGUGUUUGAUGAACUGUGGGACGAAGGGCACCCUUGCUCUUCCCUUCUUUCUGUGUGGGAAGACUUCUCUGCAAAAACAAUAGCACAAAGAGAAAUUGAUAUAUACCGCAAGUAUGAACACACAGACUACAGCACAAGUAUUGCAGAAAUAAGCAUUUUAAAUUCUGGGGGUGAUCCUAUAGUUCCAAUAUUAAUCAAUACUUUAACAAUUCUGAAUACAGCAUGUACAUCAAAUUUAUUGAUACAUUUACAAAGAGGAAACAGCAUUAUGUUAACUCUCCAAGAAACAUUUACAUUUUGAACCAUAUUUGGCAAUAAUCAUAUUUUUAAUGAUUUGUACAAGUGUCCUCUUAACACAGGCAAGACUUUAGCUAAAGUGAGCUCCCAUCCAGUGAAGUUCCAUUCAAUGUGAAUUCUGCAAUAAAUUCAUAUACCAUAUAAAAAUGGGCCAGUCCUGAUAUAGUGGAAAGAACUCUAUCAACGUUUGCAGCGACUGGUUGAUUGGCUGCAGCUGUUCUCCGUCGAUUACGAACAAAGGCUGACACAAGGAUACCUUUCUACAUUAUGUCCACAACACAUUAAAGAGUGUGUUUGCUCUUUCGCUCCCCGUCAUUCCAAUUAAUUUGGAGAAAAAUGUAACUUUAGUAUUUGACAGGACAUGGCAAAGCUGUUCAUCUAGAUGAUGUCUAUAUUAUAAAAAAAUUAAAAUAAAAUAAAAUAAUAUAAAUAUGUAACACAAACCCAGUGCCCAUUGUUAAAUAAGAUAUUCAGUAAAAAAACAAAAAAACAGACCUUCUACAAUGACUGGUUUUAAAAUAUGCAGAUAUAAUUUAAUUAUGAAGAACUUGAAACAGUGUGGAAAUUAAGCUGCGAUAGCCAGAUUUUUGCAUCUAUGCCAGGUAAAGUAGUUAAGUGCAUAACAUUCUGUUACAUUGAUAGAAGUGUAGAUUACAAUCUUACAAUGAAUUGUCUAUAUAAGAAUGCAUUCAGGAGUUCCGAAACAUUGUAUUAUAACGAUGGGGUGGAUUCACAUGGUCAUGUUUUUGAUACGAUAACUGCAAUUUUAAUGUCAUAAUUUGGUCAUCUGAAGAUUCCAGUGGAUAAUAGCUCUUACUACAAUACCCUUUUCCCAUCCUGUUCAGAGAACAGCUUUUAAUGGAAGGG